This 1426-nucleotide long non-coding RNA is filed under the name Trifolium pratense (red clover). RNAcentral describes it as "long non-coding RNA (TPRA_LNC003339)". The record is from RNAcentral. Lineage: Eukaryota; Viridiplantae; Streptophyta; Magnoliopsida; Fabales; Fabaceae.
ACAUAGAUUUCAUUCUAGCUUCUCUCAUCCACUACGAGCUUAUGUACUAACUUGAACGUUAUAAAGUACCUAUAACUGCAAGUACACUCGCCUCCAUGUCUCAUCUCCACCUUAGAUUAUGGCAUCCACUUGAAUUCAAAGAGAAUUAUUUUCACCGAUCCAUGAGUCCUCCUCAAACUCUGAUUACUAUUUAGAACAAAAAUUAAAGUGAGCAAUAUCAACCAUCAACCAUCGAUAAAUAAAUCAAUAAUCGAUUAAUCAUGAGUGAUUAUUAUAUAACCUUUUAUUUUUCCACUUUACUGACUGCUGAUUCUAGAGUAACCAAUUCCUGCAAGAUUUUUUAAGCUUCAAUUUGAUGUCAGCAUAAAAAUGAUUUAUUAAUUAAUGAAAUUACGCUCCCACUAAACUUAUUUCCAAUUGCCCCAUGGAUUAAUGGUACAAUGUUCUACUACUCUAUAUGCUGGUUAGUUUAAUCACCACUAAUUCAUCUUAUUUUAUGUAGCAACGAUGACGACUUUGUCAUUAUUUGUGAAUUUAUCGAUUGCUUGUUUUGACCUAGUGGUGAAGGAAUAUUUUCAUUUUUCUUCAAAAAAAAAAUCCAAGAGAAAACAAAUUAAAAUCACCAAUUCAAGUUCACCUACUCUUUUCCAAACAUGGAGCAGAAAAGGAAAUGGAGAAAAAAUGGAAAAUAGUAAGUGUACUUAUUUGGACCCAAACUCAAAACAUAUAAAAAAAAUAAUUGAAUACAUAUAUGAACAAAAAAAAAUUAAAGUUAAAAUAACUAAAUGAUGUGACAAUAUUAUUUUUGUUUAAUUUUUUUUAUUUGUGAAUGCACGCUUAAAUAUUUUUCUCUUAGAUUUGUGUCCAAUUAAAUAUUUCUCGAGUUUCCAUAUAGUUUACCACUUGUGUGUAGUUUGUCACAUUCCUUACUUUUAUUGGACACAUAGUUUUAUAUUUAAGAUCAAUUCCAUAAGUCUCCAAAGAGCAUGCAUAAUAUAAUGUAUAUUUUCAUAAUAUAAAAACUUAUUACUUAAAAGUUAAGGCUGCCCAUAUCAAAGAAAAAAAGUUAUUUAACUAAGGCUGCCCUAGAGGGUCAAAUAUACUAUAAUUGAUUGAAACUCUUGCUAAAUUUCAAUCCGUACGUAAAGAAUACUAUAUAGUAGAAUACAACUCACAAAAGUAACCACACGAGCUUAUAACUUUCUUUCUUUGUNNNNNNNNNNNNNNNNNNNNNNNNNNNNNNNNNNNNNNNNNNNNNNNAUUUUUUAUAUGGACAUAAAGCAUGUCGAUACAUAAAAGAAUAGUUAACGAAGCAUUUGGUGACAUUUGCAAAUUUAAAUUAAAUAAAAGCAUGUUUACCAUUGUUGGCAGUCACAAUCUCAAUCAUGCAAAACCUCACAUUCUUGACUACAAAUCAACGAAGAGA